This 459-nucleotide ribosomal RNA is filed under the name uncultured bacterium. RNAcentral describes it as "partial 16S ribosomal RNA". It matches the Rfam family "Bacterial small subunit ribosomal RNA", at positions 338 to 795 of the family's 1533-position model. The record is from RNAcentral.
CCUACGGGAGACAGCAGUGAGGAAUAUUGGUCAAUGGGCGGGAGCCUGAACCAGCCAAGCCGCGUGAGGGAAGAAGGUACAGCGUAUCGUAAACCUCUUUUGUCAGGGAACAAAGGCGGGGACUAGUCCCCGGAUGAGGGUACCUGAAGAAAAAGCAUCGGCUAACUCCGUGCCAGCAGCCGCGGUAAUACGGAGGAUGCGAGCGUUAUCCGGAUUUAUUGGGGUAAAGGGGUGCGCAGGCGGCCUGUUAAGUCAGCGGGAAAAGCCCGGGGCUCACCCCCGGCGAGCCGUUGAAACUGGCGGGCUGGAGUUGGAGAGAGGUACGCGGAAUGCGCGGUGUAGCGGUGAAAUGCUUAGAUAUCGCGCAGAACCCCGAUUGCGAAGGCAGCGUACCGGCUCCACACUGACGCUGAGGCACGAAAGCGUGGGUAUCGAACAGGAUUAGAUACCCCAGUAGUC